This 497-nucleotide ribosomal RNA is filed under the name uncultured bacterium. RNAcentral describes it as "partial 16S ribosomal RNA". It matches the Rfam family "Bacterial small subunit ribosomal RNA", at positions 28 to 507 of the family's 1533-position model. The record is from RNAcentral.
GAUGAACGCUGGCGGCGUGCCUAAUACAUGCAAGUCGAGCGAACAGACGAGGAGCUUGCUCCUCUGACGUUAGCGGCGGACGGGUGAGUAACACGUGGAUAACCUACCUAUAAGACUGGGAUAACUUCGGGAAACCGGAGCUAAUACCGGAUAAUAUAUUGAACCGCAUGGUUCAAUAGUGAAAGACGGUUUUGCUGUCACUUAUAGAUGGAUCCGCGCCGCAUUAGCUAGUUGGUAAGGUAACGGCUUACCAAGGCAACGAUGCGUAGCCGACCUGAGAGGGUGAUCGGCCACACUGGAAGUGAGAAACGGUCCAGACUCCUACGGGAGGAAGCAGUAGGGAAUCUUCCGCAAUGGGCGAAAGCCUGACGGAGCAACGCCGCGUGAGUGAUGAAGGUCUUCGGAUCGUAAAACUCUGUUAUUAGGGAAGAACAAAUGUGUAAGUAACUAUGCACGUCUUGACGGUACCUAAUCAGAAAGCCACGGCUAACUACGUG